GGUCGGAUGCGGUUGUCAAUCAGGCCGUACAUGGCAGUGAAAGGUGAGCUAUUUUUAGAGGGCUAUAUAACGGCCUCGGCGCUCUCGCCUCGGACACAACGGCCACUGAGCUAAGAGCGAGACCGGAGAGUUACUUCCCUAAGAUAUGAUGGACACCUCUAGCCGAUGGGCAGGCGAUUCUCAGCAUGCCAGAUUUAUGCGCCCAGAGGGGGGGGUCAGGUGUGAGAGGAGUGGUAUAAGUGAGUGAGCGGUCGAAAAGAGGGCAGGUGUGGAAGUGUGCGCAGGGCAGGUGCAAUUGUGUCACAGCUGGACUCUAGAAGCCUUCAUGCCUUACUUUGAGUUGCUCUCCCACUGCUAACCCUCUGUCUCCCUGUGUAUGAAACAGCUGGUGCUCACUGUACCCUCUCUGGCCUCGCAGGACCCUACACCUCACAUACUGGGCCAUGGUUAUAGUACACACACACACACACAGCACAAGAGAGAGAGAAAGAGGGGGGGGGGGGACGUUGCUGUAGAUAGUAUGCCUUGGGGUGUUAGAUUCUUUCUUUAACCACAUACACAUCUUAAAAUGCAAUAAUUUAAAUCAUUGCAUUCUGUCAAUACUUAAGAUCAUUC
Molecule: long non-coding RNA, 615 nt
Organism: Ictalurus punctatus (channel catfish)
Lineage: Eukaryota; Metazoa; Chordata; Actinopteri; Siluriformes; Ictaluridae
Source: Ensembl